UUUUUGGAUCAAAAUCAACAAUCCAAAUAUCUCUUAUUAGAAAAAGAUUCUGAAAAAGAGAUUAGAACACAUGAGGAAGAACUGCUAUUAAUUAGAAAAGGUGAAAAUCUGAUUAAACAGGGUAAUCAACUCAUCAAGCAGGGUGAGCGUAAAAUAAAAGAAGGGGAAUUACUGCUUCGUACUCAUGGAUCCAAUGUAAACAGGUAUGCAUAGAUAAAUGUAUCUCCCUCUUUUUAUUUUGCACACACACAUACAUAUUGUUUGACUAUGUUUCACAAAACCUUCAAAAUGUAUAUAUGUUUCAAUGUAUUUUUUUAUUAUUUAUAGUGUACCAUGUAGAGUGCCUAAAUCAUCUGCAGUCAAUACAUCUUGUACAC
This is a non-coding RNA of Hydra vulgaris (swiftwater hydra), 377 nucleotides long. The record is from RefSeq and is a predicted model, not a curated record. Lineage: Eukaryota; Metazoa; Cnidaria; Hydrozoa; Anthoathecata; Hydridae.